Molecule: ribosomal RNA, 253 nt
Filed under: uncultured bacterium
Lineage: Bacteria
Description: partial 16S ribosomal RNA
Rfam family: Bacterial small subunit ribosomal RNA
Source: RNAcentral
UACGUAGGGUGCGAGCGUUGUCCGGAAUUAUUGGGCGUAAAGAGCUCGUAGGCGGCUUGUUGCGUCGGAUGUGAAAGCCCGGGGCUUAACUCCGGGUCUGCAUUCGAUACGGGCAGGCUAGAGUUCGGUAGGGGAGAUCGGAAUUCCUGGUGUAGCGGUGAAAUGCGCAGAUAUCAGGAGGAACACCGGUGGCGAAGGCGGAUCUCUGGGCCGUAACUGACGCUGAGGAGCGAAAGCGUGGGGAGCGAACAGG